CUCGCAUGCAAUUGGUCUGUGCGUUUCCUCAUCCGCUAAACCACUACCGUAAAAAACUGCAAAAGCCGCGCCGCGCCGCCAGGUAAAAAAAUAAAAACGCCGUCAGGUUUUAAAUCACAACCUUCUGUUUUGGCUGGCGGUCCGGGUCCGGAUGGGACGGCCUCUGGGUCCGGACCCGGACCGCGGUCCGCCAGUUAGUGACCUAUGGGAUAGAGGGUGUAGGUGUAGAGGGUGUAGGUGGGCGGAUGUGCUACGUUUGUUGAGGACGGACUGGCAUACAGUAGUAGUGGAGGUAAACGAUGCAGAGUGUGUCGGGAUAGAGGUGUGCAGGAAUGAAGGCGGCAUAGUGGUGUUACAUUUUUAUAACCCUUGUAUGCCUCUAAGUGCAGAGCAGCUAGAUGUAAUGGGUAGGUGUGGUGGGGGUGGAAAGGUGAUUUGGUGUGGGGACUUUAAUGCACAUAAUGAGAUAUGGGGAGGUGGACACACGGAUGGUAAUGGGGCAGUGGUGGAGGAAUGUAUGGAGGGUUGUGGGAUGGUAUGUGUUAAUGGGGGGGGGGGUGGUACUAGGGUAAAUAUAGGGAAAGGGACUGAAUCCUGUUUAGAUCCAAUGUGGGUGUCUGCGUCUAUGGCAGGGAGGUGUGAGUUGCGAGUGAUGAGACUCCACCGUAGGGAGUGAUCAUUACCCUAUUGUUGGUAGGUUUGAGGCUGGUGUGUGUAUGCAGAGCAGAGGUCAUGGCAAGAGGUGGUGUUAUGAGAAGGCUGAUUGGAUCAAGUUCAAGUACUUGCGUGAGAGGGUAGGACGGAAGUUGACGAUGGAGGGAUCAGUGAAUGAAUGUGCUCAGGAACUGACAAGUAUGCUAGUGGCAGCAGCAAAUGGAAAAUGUUCAGGAAAAUGUUGGGUAAAGGAGGAGAUGCGGAAAUACCAGUGUUGGUGGUGGGGGAUGCAAUUGCUAUGACCGGUAAGGAAAAGGUGGAUGCGUUGGGGGUAGCAUUUGCGAAGGUUCACAGUGGCGAGCACCUAUGUGAGGAGGCGAUGCGAGAUGUUAAAACAAAACGGAGAUGUGUUUCAUAAGAAGGUAGGGACGGAGGAGGUGAUGGAUGCGGAAUUCAGUUUGAGCUGACGAGGGCACUGGUGGUAUGCAGGCGUUCGGCACCGGGAGAGGAUAGGGUAUGCUAUGAGAUGGUGAUGAAGGCCCCUGAUAAUGUAAUGGAAGCUAUAGUAGGGCUGUUUAACAAGGUGUGGAGGACUGGGGUGCUGCCGGACGGGUGGAAGCAGGCCGUAGUACUGCCGUUUGCUAAACCGGGUAAAGAUCCAGGGAAGGUGGAUAGCUAUAGACAAAUAGCUUUGACCUCAAACUUAUGUAAACUGAUGGAAAAGAUGAUAGUUAAAAGAUUGAUAUUCUACCUGGAAAGUAAGGGAUUGAUGAGUGAAGCACAGAGUGGGUUCAGGAGAGGAAGGUCUACUAUGGAUGCACUGGUGGUGGUUAGCACAGAGAUAGCCAAGGCACUUGCUAUGAAGGAGAAGAUGGUGGUGGUGUACUUUGAUAUAGAGAAGGCGUAUGACACUAUGUGGAGAGAGGGGGUGUUAAUGAAGUUAAGUGCAUUGGGAGUUGAGGGAGUUGUAUAAUUGGAUUCUGAAUUUCUUGUUUGACAGGUACAUACAGGUGAGGGUGGGGACGAUAUUGUCAGAGAGGCAUGAGGUUGCUAAUGGCACCCCACAGGGCAGUGUGACUAGCCCUGUGUUGUUUACAAUAAUGAUAGACGAUGUGUUUAGGGAUGUAGGGAGAGGUAUGGGUAUGGCACUAUAUGCAGAUGAUGGGGCUUUGUGGAAGAGCGGUAAGAAUGAGAAGUUUGUAAUGAGGAAGAUGCAAGAGGCGGUGGAUGUGGUGGAAGAAUGGUCCAAGAGAUGGGGUUUUAGGAUGUCUGUGACUAAAUCGUGUUUCAUGAUGUACUCGAGGAGGAGAGUGAGAGAGGUUCGGUUACAUAUGUAUGGACAGGAAUUGGGAAGGGUGUUAGAGUUUAAAUAUUUGGGAGUAUGGUUUGAUGAGAGGCUUACAUUCAGGAAACAUGUGCAUGCUACACACACACACACACACAAACGUCCAUUACUUUCGAGGCUCCCCCUUUUCAAUCGGCCUCUCUCCAAACGCCGUCUUACCGUGUGUUCGUGUUCAUCUGCGUCGACAGAUAAUAAAGAGCCCACUAUAGCGAGAAAAGCCGCAGCUGCUACCUUCCACCUGGAAGACCCCAUUCUUUUUCGGAGUAGGAAUACAGCGAGAUUGGGGAUGUUAGCUUUGUAGGGCUAUCCCACCUUCUUCCUGGUUGUAUGACAGAGGCAAUUUUAGGGAUGCUCUCGUUCGCAUUUGGCGUAAGCGCUUCACCACCGCACAUCGCACGCAAAUUUGAUGGGCUGACUUGAGUCACAUGACCCGCAUCCUCCAGUCACGGGGGAAAGCGAUGGAUCAAACGGUGGAUAAAAAAACUCCCGCCUGCGUAUCGUCCGCAACCUUCAGCCACGUCAUCC
Gasterosteus aculeatus aculeatus (three-spined stickleback) is the source of this 2524-nucleotide long non-coding RNA. NCBI's taxonomy places the organism in Eukaryota, Metazoa, Chordata, Actinopteri, Perciformes, Gasterosteidae. The record is from Ensembl.